AAUGAACGCUGGCGGCGGGCCUAACACAUGCAAGUCGAACGAGUGGCGGACGGGUGAGUAAUGGCUGGUAAACUGCGCGAUGGCUGGGGAUAACUAGUGGAAAAGGUAGCUAAUCCCGCAUACCAUCGGAUGUGCGAAGAUGGUGUUAGCUAGUGGGGGGGUUAACGGCUCACAUAGGCGACGAUCCCUAGCUGGUCUGAGAGGAUGACCAGCCACACUGGAACUGAGACACGGUCCAGACUCCUACGGGAGGCAGCAGUGGGGAAUAUUGCACAAUGGGCGCAAGUCUGAGGGAGCCAUGCCGCGUGGAUGAAGAAGGCUUUCGGGUUGUAAAGUACUUUCAGCGAGGAGGCGUUACUCGCAGAAGAAGCACCGGCUAACUCCGUGCCAGCAGCCGCGGUAAUUC
Molecule: ribosomal RNA, 406 nt
Filed under: uncultured bacterium
Lineage: Bacteria
Description: partial 16S ribosomal RNA
Rfam family: Bacterial small subunit ribosomal RNA
Source: RNAcentral